RNAcentral lists this transfer RNA (74 nucleotides) under Thermoplasmatales archaeon AK. RNAcentral's name for it is "tRNA-Ile". It matches the Rfam family "tRNA". From Rfam's summary of the family: Transfer RNA (tRNA) molecules are approximately 80 nucleotides in length. Their secondary structure includes four short double-helical elements and three loops (D, anti-codon, and T loops). The record is from RNAcentral. Lineage: Archaea; Methanobacteriati; Thermoplasmatota; Thermoplasmata; Thermoplasmatales. RNAcentral also lists the same sequence under 3 other names.
GGGGCUGUAGCUCAGCUAGGUAGAGCGCCUGGCUCAUAACCAGGUGGUCAUCGGUUCAAACCCGGUCAGCCCCA